This 64-nucleotide transfer RNA is filed under the name Euphylidorea dispar. RNAcentral's name for it is "tRNA-Ala". It matches the Rfam family "tRNA". Rfam says of the family: Transfer RNA (tRNA) molecules are approximately 80 nucleotides in length. Their secondary structure includes four short double-helical elements and three loops (D, anti-codon, and T loops). Further hydrogen bonds mediate the characteristic L-shaped molecular structure. tRNAs have two regions of fundamental functional importance: the anti-codon, which is responsible for specific mRNA codon recognition, and the 3' end, to which the tRNAs corresponding amino acid is attached (by aminoacyl-tRNA synthetases). tRNAs cope with the degeneracy of the genetic code in two manners: having more than one tRNA (with a specific anti-codon) for a particular amino acid; and 'wobble' base-pairing, i.e. permitting non-standard base-pairing at the 3rd anti-codon position. Lineage: Eukaryota; Metazoa; Arthropoda; Insecta; Diptera; Limoniidae. The record is from RNAcentral.
AGGGUAAUAGUUAAAUUAUAACAUUUGAUUUGCAUUCAAAAAAUAUUGAAUCUCAAUUUACCUU